UUUUUUUACGUUGAUUGCCUAUUGCGCCGGCAGGCAUCUUCCCGGUGGGGCCUGAUGGUCGGCCCAAGGCUUCUUCCAGGUGGGGCCUGAUGGUCGGCCCAGCCCGUUCUGGCGCAGGCGAGUGUUUAUAGUGGCGCCAUCUUGCAUUGGCUCAUGCUGCCCCCCAGAACUCGUUCUUGAUUCACUUGGACGGCUUCCUCUAGAGUCCGGGUUGAUGGGUGGUCUUCAGGACAGCAUGUGGGUAGUUUUAAGCCACUCGGCGGUGACUGAAAAAUCCGAGUGGUAGCGUGGGGAUUCGAACCCGCGUCGUCCAUCACGCGGUGAAUGUGGGUCCAGUACGCUACCACCUACGCCACCGCCUACUACAGGAAUGGAACAAAAAGUGGCUGCUACAAUUCAAUGAAGAAAAAUGUAAAGUCCUGCACCUUGGGAGGGGAUAUCCAGCAUACCAAUACCACAAGGGAAACACUCCAUUAUCCACCACAGAGGCAGAGAAAGACCUGGGAGUAUAUGUUACCAGGCUACCAGUCUGUUCAUGUGUGUGGCGAGGACGUUGAGACCUUAGAAAGUUUCAUGUAUCUUGGUAGCGUAGUUCAUAACAAUGGUGAGUCUGGCCAGGAAGUCUUAUGGCAAAUUGGCCUGGCCCACGGUGUUAUGGACUCGCUCAACAUGAGUAUAUGGUGUUGUCGAUACCUGUGUAGAAGGACAAAGAUCCGGGUCUUCAAGUCCCUUGUGCUCCCUGUCUUACUCUAUGGUUGUGAGACAUGGACACUAAAUGGGGACCUGGAGAGGCGGAUUGAUGCCUUUGGUAAUAAAUGUCUACGCAGAAUCAUAGGAUAUCACUGGAAUGACUUUGCGUCAAACUGGCGACUACUCCGUGAGACUGAUUCGACACAUAUUACCUGCAUAGUCCGUCAUUGCCAACUCCGGCUAUACGGGCACGUGGCACGUCACCCUGAAGCUGAUCCUGCUCAUCGGGUUGUCUUUGUAAGAGACAAUCCUGAGUGGAGGAGGCCAAAGAGAAAGUUGGAAAGUUUUGUUUAGCCGGCGCAACAUCUAUGGUCACAUGCCGUAAAGAGACAGAAGGGGAAGGAAUUAUAUGAGAAGGGAACAGAUCCCAGGAGACGGGACACAACCCCCGAUUAAUACCUGGUACCCAUUCACUGUUGGGUGGACAGGGGCGUAGGGUAUCAGAAAAGCCGCCCAAAUUUUUCCACUCUGCCUGGGAAUCGAACCUGGGCUCUCUCGGUUGUGAGCCGAGUGUGCUAACCACUGCACCACGAAGCCCCGUGAGACCAAGGGGACACCCAUGGAGUUCGUGGCUUCAGCAAGUCGAUAGAUCCUGCCGGGAGGUACUUGGGUUGGGAAGGGGGCCUGCAUGGAGACUUGCCCGGGGGGCCCCCCGGGCUUGGCAUCGUAGGGUGGGCGAGGCGAGGCGCCCCCUGGCGUAUGCCCCCACUGAUUGAUUACCAGUGAAAACCAAGUCCGUGCCAAUCGCAGCGGACGGGUUAACAAGUUAAAGAUUUGAGUUUUUUUAGCACUUUACUGGCUCACGGCACACCACACCACCACCACGUGCACCUUCCUUCCCACAGUGACCAUGCUUAAGGUUUCUGUGAGGCUCAAACAAGAUCACCUUACUAGAAAUUCCAUUUUAGUGAAAAUAAUUCCCUUGUAACUCCCCAAGUACUCCUAACCAGACUGCAGUAAAACCCUUAGUUACUGGCAACCAACAGGGAUUCAGAAGUGCUGGAUGUGGAAAUUUUGGAUACUUGGGGUAUAUUCCGGAAGUCCCUGAGUAAUUUAGUAAUUUUAUCAAACCAAACAUGUUUACACAGGUACUAUCCACUCAGCAAUGCAUCUCCUGACGACAAGUAGGUAUAUGUAUGUAUGUAUGUAUGUAUGCAUAAUUCUCUGUUCCUCUGACUAAACUACCCUGCUUUCCUGCCUUCAUUCCUUUCUUCUCCUCAUCCUUUGAAAGUACACUUGUUCUUGGUCUGGGUCGAGUCUCUCAUCGUUGACUAUGGCGUGGCCUGAAAUAUUGCAUUUCACAUGCACACACACACACAUGCACAUACACAUGCAUGCAUGCACACAUGUAAGCACACAAACACACACACACACACACACACACACACACACAGUAUAUUAACAAAUGGCCAAUUCGGAUUCAGAGGAGGACGGUCUUGUGUAACUAAUCUGAUCAGCUUCUAUUCAAGAGUAAUUGAUAUAAUACAGGAAAGAGACGGUUGGGCAGAUUGUGUGUAUCUGGACUUAAAGAAGGCGUUUGAUGAAGUACCACACAAGUGAUUAAUAUGGAGACUUAAUCAUGUUGGAGGUCUGGGUGGUUCAAUAUUGGAUUGGAUUGUGGACUUUUUGAUGGAGAGAAAUGAGAACAAUAAUUAAGAAUAAUAAAUCAAGCUGGAUGGAAGUGACGAGUGGAGUCCCCCAAGGAUCGGUGCUGGGUCCGAUUAUGUUUGUAAUAUAUAUUAAUGACAUGACAGAAGGGGUGACAAGCUAUAUGAAUAUGUUUGCUGAUGAUGCUAAAAUAAUGAGGAGGGUGGCUAAUGAAGAAGACUGUGUAGCCCUGAGCCAAGACCUCGAUAGAGUAAGCGAAUGGUCACGCAAAUGGGAAAUGACAUUCAAUACAGAGAAGUGUAGCGUGAUGGAGUUUGGUAAGAGCAGUAGACGAAUAUCGGGGAACUACUCUCUGAGUAAUGAAAGAAUCAUGAAAAAAAAUGAAGAAAAAGAUCUGGGAGUGAUCAUAACAGACAAGUUAUCCUUUGGAAAACAUAUAGACCGGAUAACUGGGGAAACAUACAAUCUUCUUAGAAACAUAAAAGCAGCAUUUACAUAUUUAGAUGAAGAAAUGGUGAAGAAACUAAUAACAUCGAUGAUACGUCCAAGACUGGAAUAUGCAGCAUUAGUGUGGUCACCUAGAUUGAAGAAAGAAAUUAGAAAGUUGGAAAGAAUACAAAGA
Eriocheir sinensis (Chinese mitten crab) is the source of this 2980-nucleotide long non-coding RNA. RefSeq lists it as uncharacterized. The transcript has 2 exons. The record is from RefSeq and is a predicted model, not a curated record. Lineage: Eukaryota; Metazoa; Arthropoda; Malacostraca; Decapoda; Varunidae.